This is a long non-coding RNA of Centropristis striata (black sea bass), 2026 nucleotides long. RefSeq lists it as uncharacterized. The record is from RefSeq and is a predicted model, not a curated record. NCBI's taxonomy places the organism in Eukaryota, Metazoa, Chordata, Actinopteri, Perciformes, Serranidae. The transcript is spliced from 4 exons.
AUAGGGGAAACCCCGCCACCUAACGGCCGUAUACAUGUCGGCCGUGUACGCAGGAAGGAACAUGGACAUGAACCUAGUCAACGAGCGGGACUGCUACACUAUCAAGUAACAGCAUUUUGAUACAACAUUACAGGGCUAUAUCAACAGAAGCUAACAUUUUGAAAGGGCAACCUCUGUUUGGAGGGACAACAUUGAGCUGAAGAGAGACUAUCAUUAAAGCUCUGUGUCUACUUCAAUGAGGACAGCAACAAAAUAGUCAAGGAAUACUUGUGAAGAAGCUAAGAGGGUGACUGCACAGACCACCAUGGGGAUUUCUGUAAUUCGCCCAGAAGGUGCUGAAGAAGAGGAUGAGUCAGAGGAUGUUGGAGUGUUCAUUGAGGAUGUGGAACUGCUUAGCAACCUGAAGAGCAUCUCCCUUGGGUAUGCCAUACUUUUUGGCCUAACUUACACACUCAACCAGAGUUAUCUCCAAGAACUCAAAUAUACAUUUGGGUUGGCUCAAAUGUUUUUAUCAAAUAUACAUUUGAGUUCUUCCAAAAAGUCCUGAUGUCCCUGGAUGGCAACAAACUGUCUCCAAAGGUCCCAACACUCAAGAUUAAGAUGCUCCAGUAAGGACUCACAAGGACAAGGAAGUGGACUGCUUAGCAACCUGAAGAACAUCUCCCUUGGGGUAUGCCAUACUAGCCUGAUUUACACACUCAAAGUCAAAAAGUUAGGUUUCUUAUUGUUGCUUUCCUUCCAAUAGUACAUUACUGUCAGUUUGGAAAUGUUUUUAUUAUAAAAUAGCUGAAUGAUAUUGUUACAUUUAGGUGUAAUCAGGUUAAUGGUGUCUUUCAUUCUGUCAUCUUUAAAUGCUACCAAGUGCUGGCUCAAGUUUCUUAACUACGGUCAGUUUGGAAACUUAACGAUGUUUACAAAUGUAAUGUUCUUAAAAGUUUUAAGGUGUUUAAUUUAUUUAUUUUCUACAUUUGACUUUUUGAAUUGUUUUGUUUGGGCAGAGUUGAAAAAUCUCCCAGUCAAACAAAAAAAUAUAAAUACUUCUCUGCAGAUGGGAUAUAGGCUUCAACAAAUUAUCUCAGGUCAGCAAGUUAUUCAGAAAUUAUAGCCUCAAUUCUUCAUCUUGUUAUUUACAGAUGUGACUAGGCCUAAUUGUGGCUGUUAUUGGUACUUGAUUACAUUUCAUUGCAUUAAUUCAGUACUACGGCACAGAUUUAUUUUUUGUACCUCUGGCUGAAGUUGCUGUUACACUGAGUGGCUGUUCAGUCUUGCUGAGAUCUAUAAUAUUUUUGGCAUGAGUCUUUUCGCAUUAUUGUCUUCAGAUGGUCAGAAAUGGUGUACAUGCAUGCUUGUUCCCAUUCCCUAUCAGUUUGACAAUUGGUGUCUGAAUUGUUAAUAUAUUAUUAAACAGGUGGCAGUUUUAGGAUGAACUCCUCUGUCAUGUCCUAUGUGCAGACACGUGGGAGGUACAGAUACACACCAGUAGCCUCUUGCUUAAUUGUACUUUUUUGUUUUUACAUAUUACCCAUCAAUGUUACACAUAAAUGAAUGCCAGUCAUAUUCAAGCCAUUGACAAAUGAGUUAACGCAAUCCUGAUUAAGCCCAUCAGCUCCACGUAACUAUGUCCCAGUAUAGAAGUGUUAUGAAGCUCAUGUCAUCCGUUGACAUUGGUGCACAGGAAGCGAUUUGUUUCUCGUUUUCUGUCUUUUUAUUUCAGUCUUGAGGUAAAACAAAUCACUUCCUGAUGUGGGCCAAUGCGCUGAUGUCAACGGACGACACAAGAUUCCAAACACUGCUAUACUGGGACAUACAGUUAUGUGGAGUUGAUGGGCUUAAUCAGGAUUGUGUCAACUAAUUUGUCAAGUUUGGGAACUGUAGACUUCAAUGUAAGUGACAUUCAUGUAUAUUAUGUUAUGUUACUAUGUUAUAUAGUGUGAAUGUCUAAAGAUGUUUUAAUGUCUAAUUUUAAACUGUAUUCUGUGGCCCCAAUUUGGUGCUUAAUAUUAAUAAAGAAACUUUUUCUUAACUA